Molecule: long non-coding RNA, 1689 nt
Organism: Brassica oleracea var. oleracea
Lineage: Eukaryota; Viridiplantae; Streptophyta; Magnoliopsida; Brassicales; Brassicaceae
Exons: 4
Source: RefSeq, a predicted model, not a curated record
GAUAAAACUAUAGAACCGCCUCUAAACAAAAAGAGGUUUUGGAACUGCUAAAAACCCCAUACGUGUCAUGUUGGUAUCAGCCGUCUAUCUCUUCUCUCUCUUCCUCGAUGCUUUUCUUUUCUUCUGAGAAAUCUCUCGUCUUGCUCUCCUUCUCCAAAUCCGUAGCAGCUAGAGAACCUCGACGAAAUCAGACUGGGACUCAGGUCGGAUCUCGAUAUCACACGACUCGUCGACGAUAUCGAACGAAUCGAUCUGCUGACGAACGAGACCUUUCUCUACUAAGUAGGCUGAUAUAACGGUCCAUGCGUCCUCCUGUGUAAUCUCCUCGUCGUGAACAAUGUAAGGCUGGUCCUGUUCGUACUCCAUCUUUGAUCUCCUCUCGUUGAAGAUUGAAGAACAGAGCAGAGAGGGAGAAAGAGAGAAAAGAGAGAGCGCGACUUUGUGGAGAUGAUCUCGAUCUCUCAUUCAAAUGGAUCUUUAGAAGAGAGGAUUUUCAGAACAACUAUUCAAGGAAGAUACUUGAUCUUCGAUGAUGAAGGCAAUGUGUGUGAUGCUCUGUCUUUGGAUUCUCGAACCCGUUGUUGCCCAUUGAAAGGAGAAAGAUUCUCUUGUCAGGACAUACAUGACUGUAUUUGAUUUUUGUGCCGGGAGAUGUCGCCAUAGUUCCGAGAGUGUGGUAAGCGAUUCACUCUUCAUAUUUUUUUUCUUUUGCAAGUUUCUUGGGGUUAUGUCAGUGAAGAAAAUUAGUGUGCAAGUGAGUUUUUUGUUUGAAACUGAUGGGAUGCUUAUGAAAGUGUAAUGAUUAUGACCUGAAACUUACAUGUUCAUGAAAAUGCAUACCACAUCAAGUUUCACCAUUGUUUUUCUCUGACUUCAAAUGCGCCAGGUUAACUUUUGUUAGCUUACUCUUUCGUUCAACUAUUGUUUAAACUUCAAAUGUUAAAAUACAUUUUACAUUCGUUAAAUAACUGAAUCAGGUGCUAAUCUUACACAAGUCGAAACAAGACUUCUUAGCAUUGAACCUAUUCUCAUCAAGGUUACCUCAUGAAACAAGAGACUGAGAGAUUGACGUUUCCUGUGUUCUUCCUCCACUUCGUCUUCAUCUUCAAUGAGAAUCUCUUUUCCUUUCUCACAGCGUCGUGCCGCCGCAGCCUCUGCUUCGUCCGGAGCAUUGUUCACGCUCUUUUUCACCGGAUCACAGAGACUUUGAUACAAAAGUACUUUCUCUCUCUCUCUCUUAAAAUUCUUAUCUGUCUUCCGAGAGAUUAGAGAGACAGAUGAUGGAAGUGGAGGUAAGGGAUGGUCAAACAAGAGUUAUGUCCGAUAAAUUCUCUGCGGCCACCAUAGAGAGACAAAGAUUUUAUAAGGUUUUAUGGUAAGGUUAAAACAAAUAUUCUCAUUCAUAAACGACGUAAUACUAAUUUGUUUUUAUAGUGAGUAUUUAUUCGGAUAUAUAUUUCAGCUGUAUAGUCAAUAUUUUCUUGGUAGUGAAUUGAGCAGAGGAUAUUACGUAAAAAGGGAAAGAAAUAACAUGCAGGGAUCUGAUUCUCCAGGUUCGCUGAUUAGUGAUUAUAUAUAUACAUUUGAUUGGUAUCUCGUUUGUCCAUUUGCAUUCAAUAAGAAAAGUCCUACUGAAUCCGUAUUGCCAUUAAUCAAUGCUUAAAAUCACGUUUAAGCGAACGGUCAUCA